RNAcentral lists this ribosomal RNA (245 nucleotides) under uncultured bacterium. RNAcentral's name for it is "partial 16S ribosomal RNA". It matches the Rfam family "Bacterial small subunit ribosomal RNA", at positions 524 to 768 of the family's 1533-position model. The record is from RNAcentral.
UACGAAGGUCCCAAGCGUUAUCCGGAUUUAUUGGGUUUAAAGGGUGCGUAGGCGGGCUAUUAAGUCAGUGGUGAAAACUCCAUGCCUAACAUGGAAACGGCCAUUGAUACUGACGGCCUUGAGUACAUUUGAAGUGGGCGGAAUGUGUCAUGUAGCGGUGAAAUGCUUAGAUAUGACACAGAACACCGAUUGCGAAGGCAGCUCGCUAAACUGUAACUGACGCUGAGGCACGAAAGCGCGGGGAG